UGGUCAGGGAGGGAGACACCGGCUUACGACGUCAAACGAGACUCACACGGAGGGAGAGGAGGGAGCACGAGCGGCCAGACUGCCAAUUCCCCACGGUCUCCUCGUCUCCGUCCAUCACUCCGCUCGCUCCACCACGCUGACUUGUUUCCACGCCGCAGAAGGAAACACGCGCGCGCCGAUGACAGGAGCGACGCUGGCUGACAAUUGUGUCGCUCCACGGAGAGAUCAGGCCUGACUUGUCACACAUGAACCGAACCUUCUCUUAGCACAGAACCGCGAGUGGAAGACACGACACACGCGCAUUCACUGAGACGAGCAGAACCACAGACUUUUCAAUGAAGGAACCGGACGCCAUCAAGCUCUUCAUCGGGCAGAUACCCCGAAACCUGGAGGAGAAGGACCUCAAGCCCAUUUUUGAGCAGUUCGGCAAAAUCUACGAGCUGACGGUGAUAAAGGACAAGUACACAGGGAUGCACAAAGGUUGUGCUUUCCUCACCUACUGUGCACGUGAGUCCGCCCUCAAAGCCCAGAAUGCUUUGCAUGAGCAGAAGACUCUACCUGGGAUGAAUCGACCCAUCCAGGUGAAACCGGCUGACAGUGAGAGCAGAGGGGAAGACAGGAAACUGUUCGUGGGCAUGCUGGGGAAGCAGCAGGCGGACGCUGACGUGAGGAAGAUGUUUGAGCCAUUCGGCAGCAUAGAGGAGUGUACGGUGCUCCGCGGCCCUGACGGCACCAGCAAAGGUUGUGCGUUCGUCAAGUUCCAGAGCAACGCAGAGGCCCAGGCUGCCAUCAAUGCUUUGCAUGGGAGUCGCACUCUACCUGGAGCAUCGUCCAGUCUGGUGGUGAAGUUUGCUGAUUCUGAGAAGGAGCGAGGUCUCAGGAGGAUGCAGCAGGUGGCCUCUCAGUUGGGGGUCAUCAGUCCCAUGACCCUGCAUUUGGGGGCGUACAACGCUUACACACAGGCGCUGAUGCAGCAGCAGGCUUUGGUGGCUCAGUCGGCAUAUCUCUCUCCUGUUGCCACGGUGGCAGCGGUCCAGAUGCAGCAGCUCGCCGCCCUCAACCCCAGCAGCAUCAUCGCCACACCAAUCGCAUCCAUCACCCCCUCCUCAGGUACCAGCACUCCGCCCUCCAUCGCAGCGACACCAGUUCCUACUCUGCCACCGCCCAUCGCAGUCAACAGCUACCAGUCUGUGCCCACCGCCCCCAACGGCCAGUCGGCUACCGAGGCCCUCUACACCAACGGGGUCCACGCCUACCAAGCUCAGAGUCCUGUUCUGGACCCGCUGCAGCAGGCGUACACUGGAAUGCAGCACUACACAGCUACCUACCCUGCUGCCUAUGGACUAGUGGGUCAGCCCUUCCCUCACCAGCCCACCCUGGUGGCCCAGCAGCCGCAGCAACAGCCCACCCAGCUGCAGCAGCGAGAAGGCCCAGAGGGCUGCAACAUCUUUAUCUACCACCUCCCGCAGGAGUUCACUGACUCUGAGAUCCUGCAGAUGUUUCUGCCCUUCGGGAAUGUCAUUUCUGCCAAGGUGUUUGUGGAUAGAGCCACCAACCAAAGCAAAUGUUUUGGUUUUGUGAGUUUCGACAACCCGUCCAGCGCUCAGACUGCCAUCCAGGCCAUGAACGGUUUUCAGAUCGGCAUGAAGAGACUGAAGGUUCAGCUCAAGAGGCCCAAGGAUGCCAACAGGCCUUACUGAAAGAGAACCACUCUCAAGACUCUCCAUACAUAACUCGUGGAGACGUUCGUCGCUAUGGCUAUGGUUGCCUAGCAACCGCUAAAUCCUCCCCCUACCUUCUCGCUGCGUUGAAAGAGUUCAAUCAAGAAAAAAAAAUUGCCACUCGGGAUGACCCAGCCUUGUUUGGUUGCUUGACCAACCGUAUAGCACAGGAGCCACACUUCUCUAACGCAGUAUCGUGAUCAUGUGUGCGCUUUCUAACACAGCAGUGGACAGGUUGAACACUGACAGAAGUGCUCCGGACUUCCAAUCAUUCCACAGCUGGAUUAUACCAUGUACAUAAUCUCUACUGUCAGCCAGAUCUACAUGUUAACAAAAAGCAUAUCAAUGAUGUUAUUCUACUCUACAGGGUUCUGAUGUAUAUUGUGAUUCGUCUUAAAUGCUGGAGGGAAAAGAAAAUACUAUUCUCUAUGAUUACUAUUGACAAUAUUGUUAAGUAGAUUUAGUUUUAUUAUUUAUAUUUGGCCACUUCCUCUCACUGUACAUACUGAAAAAAAACAAGCUAAUAAUAUCCUGCCACCACUUUUACAUAAAAAAAAACUGGGAGGAAGGGCCAGAGGUUUUUUCUAUCUUAAUUUAAAGUUUGUUUUCAACACUGAAUCUGUUGGGAGGGAAGGGUGCGGAGGGGUUGAGGCGAGACUUACUAUUGAUUUAACUAUAGAAGUAUUCCUGUGGUCUUUGAGACGAUGAAGAAAAAAAAGUUAUGAUAGAGUUUUUAAUUUAAAAAUAUGUACCUAUGGGAGUAACAAAGAAUAAUGUUUCUUUAUUUAUUGUCUUUAAAAACAAAAUAAAGUACAAUUUAGGAUAAACGUGUGUCUGGUCUGCGUGGUGUUAUUGUGAGAUGAGAUCAGAGAACCUCAUUUUGCCAAGGGUCGUUUUGCCUCCACCACACACAAAGCCUGAAGGCCAUUGGAACCUGUUAGUUUCAGUAGCAUAGAAAAUCCAAUCAUGAUCUGCACGCAUCUGAGCUACUAGACCAACCCUGGAAAGUGAAAGGAUU
This is an RNA transcript of Synchiropus splendidus (mandarinfish), 2739 nucleotides long. It is a transcript of the gene named cugbp, Elav-like family member 3a, with no coding region annotated. The transcript is spliced from 15 exons. Lineage: Eukaryota; Metazoa; Chordata; Actinopteri; Syngnathiformes; Callionymidae. The record is from RefSeq and is a predicted model, not a curated record.